This 843-nucleotide ribosomal RNA is filed under the name Pristimantis jaguensis. Its description in RNAcentral is "partial 16S ribosomal RNA". It matches the Rfam family "Bacterial large subunit ribosomal RNA", at positions 1456 to 2594 of the family's 2925-position model. The record is from RNAcentral. Lineage: Eukaryota; Metazoa; Chordata; Amphibia; Anura; Strabomantidae.
AAUUUAUUUAUCCAUAUUGAACCCUUUAAUUGUACUGAGAACUUCUAUACUAUAUAGAAUUUUUUAUGCUAAAACUAGUAACAAGAGAUACCCCUCUCCCUAGUGUAAAUGUAAGUCAGCAAGAACCCAUCACUGACAACUAACAGAUUUAAACAAAAGUAGUAACUCCACAAGAAAACCCCACUUUUUCUCCUGUUAACCUAACACAAGAACACUUCAAGAAAGAUUAAAAGAAAAAGAAGGAACUCGGCAAAACCUAGCCCCGCCUGUUUACCAAAAACAUCGCCUCUUGAUUACCUCUAUAAGAGGUCUUGCCUGCCCAGUGACUCUGUUCAACGGCCGCGGUACCCUAACCGUGCGAAGGUAGCGUAAUCACUUGUUUUCUAAAUAAAGACCAGUAUGAAAGGCGUCACGAGGGUUAAACUGUCUCCUCUUUCUAAUCAGUGAACCUAAUCUUCCCGUGAAGAAGCGGGAAUUACCCCAUAAGACGAGAAGACCCUGUGGAGCUUAAAACAUCAUAACACUGCUAACAAAUACCAAUAUUCAGAUACCCCCUCCCUCAAAGCACGAUGAUUAUAAGUUUUUGGUUGGGGUGACCGCGGAGAAAAAUUAAACCUCCACUAUGAAAAGAGCCCUCCUUAACAAUAAGCUACAACCUUAUGUAUCAACAAAUUGACAUUAUUGACCCAACAAAUUGAUCAACGAACCAAGUUACCCCAGGGAUAACAGCGCAAUCCACUUUGAGAGCUCUUAUCGACAAGUGGGCUUACGACCUCGAUGUUGGAUCGGGAUAUCCUAGUGGUGCAGCCGCUACUUAAGGUUCGUUUGUUCAACGAUUAAAAU